RNAcentral lists this ribosomal RNA (443 nucleotides) under uncultured bacterium. RNAcentral's name for it is "partial 16S ribosomal RNA". It matches the Rfam family "Bacterial small subunit ribosomal RNA", at positions 338 to 795 of the family's 1533-position model. The record is from RNAcentral.
CCUACGGGUGGCAGCAGUGGGGAAUAUUGGGCAAUGGGCGCAAGCCUGACCCAGCAACGCCGCGUGAAGGAAGAAGGCUUUCGGGUUGUAAACUUCUUUUCUUAGGGACGAAGAAAGUGACGGUACUUCAGGAGUAAGCCACGGCUAACUACGUGCCAGCAGCCGCCGUAAUACGUCGGUGGCAGUCGUUAUCCGGAUUUAUUGGGUGUAAAGGGCGUGUAGGCGGGAAAGCAAGUCAGAUGGGAAAACUCAGGGCUCAACCCUGAGCCUGCAUUUGAAACUGUUUUUCUUGAGUGCUGGAGAGGCAAGCGGAAUUCCGUGUGUAGCGGUGAAAUGCGGAGAUAUACGGAGGAACACCAGUGGCGAAGGCGGAUUGCCGGACAGUAACUGACGCUGAGGCGCGAAAGCGUGGGGAGCAAACAGGAUUAGAUACCCUAGUAGUC